Molecule: ribosomal RNA, 232 nt
Filed under: uncultured bacterium
Lineage: Bacteria
Description: partial 16S ribosomal RNA
Rfam family: Bacterial small subunit ribosomal RNA
Source: RNAcentral
UCGGAAUUACUGGGCGUAAAGCGUGCGCAGGCGGUUUUGUAAGGCAGAUGUGAAAUCCCCGGGCUUAACCUGGGAAUGGCAUUUGGGACUGCAAGGCUGGAGUGUGGCAGAGGAGACUGGAAUUCCCGGUGUAGCAGUGAAAUGCGUAGAUAUCGGGAGGAAUACCGAUGGCGAAGGCAGGUCUCUGGGCUGACACUGACGCUCAUGCACGAAAGCGUGGGGAGCAAACAGG